RNAcentral lists this ribosomal RNA (253 nucleotides) under uncultured bacterium. RNAcentral describes it as "partial 16S ribosomal RNA". It matches the Rfam family "Bacterial small subunit ribosomal RNA", at positions 524 to 776 of the family's 1533-position model. The record is from RNAcentral.
UACAGAGGUGGCAAGCGUUGUUCGGAAUUACUGGGCGUAAAGGGCGCGUAGGCGGUCCUGUAAGUCUUGUGUGAAAUCCCUCGGCUCAACUGAGGAACUGCACGGGAUACUGCGAGACUUGAGUUCGGGAGAGGGAAGCGGAAUUCCGGGUGUAGCGGUGAAAUGCGUAGAUAUCCGGAGGAACACCGGUGGCGAAGGCGGCCCCCUGGGCUGACACUGACGCUCAGGCACGAAAGCGUGGGGAGCAAACAGG